ACUCCUGCGGGAGGCAGCAGUGGGGAAUAUUGCACAAUGGGCGCAAGCCUGAUGCAGCGACGCCGCGUGGGGGAUGAAGGCCUUCGGGUUGUAAACUCCUUUCGCUAGGGACGAAGCUUUUUUGUGACGGUACCUAGAUAAGAAGCACCGGCUAACUACGUGCCAGCAGCCGCGGUAAUACGUAGGGUGCGAGCGUUGUCCGGAAUUACUGGGCGUAAAGGGCUCGUAGGUGGUUUGUCGCGUCGUCUGUGAAAUUCUGGGGCUUAACUCCGGGCGUGCAGGCGAUACGGGCAUAACUUGAGUGCUGUAGGGGUAACUGGAAUUCCUGGUGUAGCGGUGAAAUGCGCAGAUAUCAGGAGGAACACCGAUGGCGAAGGCAGGUUACUGGGCAGUUACUGACGCUGAGGAGCGAAAGCAUGGGUAGCGAACAGGAUUAGAUACCCUUGUAGUCCCAUGAU
Molecule: ribosomal RNA, 458 nt
Filed under: uncultured organism
Description: partial 16S ribosomal RNA
Rfam family: Bacterial small subunit ribosomal RNA
Source: RNAcentral